GGCUGGCCCCAGUGCAGGGGUGUUUAUGGCUAGUUGAUCACAACCAGUUGGAGAUUUGUUUGUUCCUUUUCUACUCCCACUGCUCCACUUAACCAGCCUUUG
Molecule: Y RNA, 102 nt
Filed under: Microcebus murinus (gray mouse lemur)
Lineage: Eukaryota; Metazoa; Chordata; Mammalia; Primates; Cheirogaleidae
Description: Y RNA (ENSMICG00000044606.1)
Rfam family: Y RNA
About the family: Y RNAs are components of the Ro ribonucleoprotein particle (Ro RNP), in association with Ro60 and La proteins.
Source: Rfam by way of RNAcentral